CCUACGGGAGGCAGCAGUAGGGAAUAUUGCUCAAUGGGGGAAACCCUGAAGCAGCAACGCCGCGUGUAGGAUGAAGGUUUUCGGAUUGUAAACUCCUUUUGUUAGAGAAGAUAAUGACGGUAUCUAACGAAUAAGCACCGGCUAACUCCGUCCCAGCAGCCGCGGUAAUACGGAGGGUGAAAGCGUUACUCGGAAUCACUGGGCGUAAAGAGCGCGUAGGCGGGAUAGUAAGUCAGAUGUGAAAUCCUAGGGCUUAACCAGAGAACUGCAUUUGAAACUGUUAUUCUUGAGUAUCGUAGAGGGAGGUGGAAUUCUAGGUGUAGGGGUAAAAUCCGUAGAGAUCAAGAGGAAUACUCAUGGCGAAGGCGACCCGCUAGACCAUAACUGACGCUCAUGUGCGAAAGCGUGGGGAGCAAACAGGAUUAGAUACCCGUGUAGUC
This 440-nucleotide ribosomal RNA is filed under the name uncultured bacterium. RNAcentral describes it as "partial 16S ribosomal RNA". It matches the Rfam family "Bacterial small subunit ribosomal RNA", at positions 338 to 795 of the family's 1533-position model. The record is from RNAcentral.